This 246-nucleotide ribosomal RNA is filed under the name Salmonella enterica subsp. enterica serovar Kentucky. RNAcentral describes it as "partial 23S ribosomal RNA". It matches the Rfam family "Bacterial large subunit ribosomal RNA", at positions 1323 to 1570 of the family's 2925-position model. The record is from RNAcentral. Lineage: Bacteria; Pseudomonadati; Pseudomonadota; Gammaproteobacteria; Enterobacterales; Enterobacteriaceae.
GAAAAGCCCGCUCGCCGGAAGACCAAGGGUUCCUGUCCAACGUUAAUCGGGGCAGGGUGAGUCGACCCCUAAGGCGAGGCCGAAAGGCGUAGUCGAUGGGAAACGGGUUAAUAUUCCCGUACUUGGUGUUACUGCGAAGGGGGGACGGAGAAGGCUAUGUUGGCCGGGCGACGGUUGUCCCGGUUUAAGCGUGUAGGUGUGUGUUCCAGGUAAAUCCGGUUCACUUUAACACUGAGGCGUGAUGAC